Molecule: ribosomal RNA, 467 nt
Filed under: uncultured bacterium
Lineage: Bacteria
Description: partial 16S ribosomal RNA
Rfam family: Bacterial small subunit ribosomal RNA
Source: RNAcentral
GACGAACGCUGGCGGCGUGCUUAACACAUGCAAGUCGAACGGAAAGGCCCUGAUUUUGUGGGGUGCACGAGUGGCGAACGGGUGAGUAACACGUGUGUAACCUGCCCCUGACUUUGGGAUAACUCUAGGAAACUGGGGCUAAUACCGGAUAGAAGCUCCUGCUGCGUGGUGGGGGUAGGAAAGUUUCGGCGGUUGGGGAUGGAAUCGAGGCUUAUCAGCUUGUUGGUGGGGUAGUGGCUUAAAAAGGCUUUGAAGGGUAGCCGGCCUGAGAGGGUGACCGGCUACAUUGGGCUUGGGAUACGGGCCAGAGGCAUACGUGAGGAAGCAGCGGGGAAUUGUGCGCAAAGGGCCGAGGCCUGAUGGAGCAUCUCCGCGUGGGGGAUGUCGGCUUUCGGGUAGUAACCUGCUUUCGCCUGUGUCGAAGCGUGUGGGAGGGUAAUGAGUAGAGAAGCACCGGCUAACUACGU